AGAGUUUGAUCCUGGCUCAGAACGAACGCUGGCGGCGUGGCUAAGACAUGCAAGUCAAACGGACCAUACAAUUGAGUAAUCGAGAGUAUGGUUAGUGGCGAAAGGGUUAGUAAUGGAUAGGUAACGUACCCCGUACUCCGGGAUAGCGUCGGGUGCUUGCACCCUACCGAAAGGGGCGGAAAUACCGGAUAAUAUCAUAAGUCGACAGGCUUAUGAUCAAAGAUUUAUCGGCACGGGAGCGGCCUAUCUCCUAUCAGCUUGUUGGUGAGGUAAAAGCUCACCAAGGCAAUGACGGGUAGCGGGACUGAGAGGUUGACCCGCAACAUCGGGACUGAGACACUGCCCGGACCUCCACGGAGGGCUGCAGUAACGAAUAUUGCGCAAUGGGCGAAAGCCUGACGCAGCGACGCCGCGUGUAGGAGGAAGUCUUUCGGGAUGUAAACUACUGUCAGGGGUAAGAAAGUGCGCUUCGGCGUAUUGAUCUAACCCAGAGGAAGUCACGGCUAACUUCGUGCCAGCAGCCGCGGUAAGACGAAGGUGGCAAGCGUUGUUCGGUGUUACUGGGCUUAAAGCGUGUGUAGGCGGGACAGUAAGCGUCUUGUGAAAACCCUCGGCUUAACCGAGGAAUUGCUCGGCGAACUGCUGUUCUUGAGGCAGGUAGGGGUGCAUGGAACUCUUGGUGGAGCGGUGGAAUGCGUAGAUAUCAAGAGGAACGCCAGUGGUGAAAACGGUGCACUGGGCCUGUCCUGACGCUGAGACACGAAAGCGUGGGGAGCGAACGGGAUUAGAUACCCCGGUAGUCCACGCCGUAAACGAUGUCUACUAGGUUGUGGUGGUUCUGACGCCAGCACGGCCGAAGCAAAAGUGUUAAGUAGACCGCCUGGGGAGUACGGUCGCAAGGCUAAAACUCAAAGGAAUUGACGGGGGCUCACACAAGCGGUGGAGCAUGUGGAUUAAUUCGAAGCAACGCGCAGAACCUACCUGGGUUUGACAUGCUUGGAUGCUAUCCUGGAAACAGGGGAUGCUGCCCUUCGGGGUGAAACUUGCACAGGUGCUGCAUGGCUGUCGUCAGCUCGUGUCGUGAGAUGUCGGGUUAAGUCCUUUAACGAGCGAAACCCUUACCGUUAGUUGCCAGCGCGUCAUGGCGGGGACUCUAGCGGGACUGCCGGUGUGAAACCGGAGGAAGGUGGGGAUGACGUCAAGUCAUCAUGGCCUUUAUGCCCAGGGCCUCACACGUGCUACAAUGGCGACGACAAAGUGACGCAAGACCGCGAGGUGGAGCAAAUCGCAAAAACGUCGCCCCAGUUCGGAUUGCAGGCUGGCAAUUCGCCUGCAUGAAGUCGGAAUCGCUAGUAAUCGCGUAUCAGCUAUGACGCGGUGAAUAUGUUCCUGAGCCUUGUACACACCGCCCGUCAAGUGAUGGGAGUUGGGAGUACCCGAAGUCGGGUUGCUAACCCUCCGGGGAGGCGCCUGCCGACGGUAAGCCCGAUGACUGGCACUAAGUCGUAACAAGGUA
RNAcentral lists this ribosomal RNA (1516 nucleotides) under metagenome. RNAcentral describes it as "bacterial SSU rRNA". It matches the Rfam family "Bacterial small subunit ribosomal RNA". The record is from RNAcentral.